This 26-nucleotide non-coding RNA is filed under the name Rattus norvegicus (Norway rat). The record is from RNAcentral. Lineage: Eukaryota; Metazoa; Chordata; Mammalia; Rodentia; Muridae.
UAGUUGACAAGAGGCCAAGGAGCAGA